This 254-nucleotide ribosomal RNA is filed under the name uncultured bacterium. Its description in RNAcentral is "partial 16S ribosomal RNA". It matches the Rfam family "Bacterial small subunit ribosomal RNA", at positions 524 to 776 of the family's 1533-position model. The record is from RNAcentral.
UACGUAGGGUGCAAGCGUUGUCCGGAAUUAUUGGGCGUAAAGAGCUUGUAGGCGGUUUGUCGCGUCUGCUGUGAAAUUUCGGGGCUCAACCCCGAACUUGCAGUGGGUACGGGCAGACUAGAGUGUGGUAGGGGAGACUGGAAUUCCUGGUGUAGCGGUGGAAAUGCGCAGAUAUCAGGAGGAACACCGAUGGCGAAGGCAGGUCUCUGGGAAUAUUCUGACGCUGAGGAGCGAAAGUGUGGGGAGCGAACAGG